GAAACGGAGCUAAUACCGGAUAAUAUUUUGAACCGCAUGGUUCAAAAGUGAAAGACGGUCUUGCUGUCACUUAUAGAUGGAUCCGCGCUGCAUUAGCUAGUUGGUAAGGUAACGGCUUACCAAGGCAACGAUGCAUAGCCGACCUGAGAGGGUGAUCGGCCACACUGGAACUGAGACACGGUCCAG
This 186-nucleotide ribosomal RNA is filed under the name uncultured Staphylococcus sp. RNAcentral's name for it is "partial 16S ribosomal RNA". It matches the Rfam family "Bacterial small subunit ribosomal RNA", at positions 154 to 334 of the family's 1533-position model. Lineage: Bacteria; Bacillati; Bacillota; Bacilli; Caryophanales; Staphylococcaceae. The record is from RNAcentral.